RNAcentral lists this ribosomal RNA (1422 nucleotides) under Triticum aestivum (bread wheat). Its description in RNAcentral is "partial small subunit ribosomal RNA". Lineage: Eukaryota; Viridiplantae; Streptophyta; Magnoliopsida; Poales; Poaceae. The record is from RNAcentral.
AUGGCGCGCGCCGACGGCUCGGGCUACUGCGGCCUCGCCCAGGGUUUCUUGGCUUCCCGGAGCCCUCCGUCCGGUCGAGCCAGGGAUUCUGGGGGCAGGGGGAGGGGGCCCGCGGUGCCGGACGUUGUGGUGAUUAGCUCCGACGAGGAGGAGGAGGGCGACGGAUCUGCCCCCGUGGCCAGGAAGUUGCGUUUUGGUGAUGGAGGGCCGACCGGGGGCUCCAAUCUCGCGUUGGUGAAGAAGGGCAAGUGCGAUGGCGAGGAGGAGGAAGACGGCGAUUGCGUGGUCCUAGACAGCGACCCCGAUGGGCCGGUUGCCAUUGUGAAACAGGAGGGGAGUUCAGGCUUUGAUGGCAGCUUGGAUGAAUUGCUGGUCGUUGCAGAGAAAGGCCAGGUAGCGUGCAGGGACUUCCCUCACUCGCGCCAUCUAUGCUCUAGCUUGCCCUUUGGCACUACUUCUCACGUCAGGCAUUGUACCAUGUGCUACUGUUUUGUAUGCGAUGUUCCAGCUCCAUGCAAAUAUUGGGGUAAAGGUCUCUCGACUGAUGAUCAUUGUCAUGGUACCGAUGACGAAAUGAGCUGGAAAAUACUGAGGCAGACAUUCAGGCUCGGGCGCCUGACAGCAUCUUAUUCAGAAAAAUACCAGAAUGCCGUGCACCCACCAAUGGCGCCAUCCACACAGCAAUAUGUACAUCAUCAAGUCUCAGACCCACAGUCUCAUCCAUCUUCCAUGCCAGUCUUACUGAAUGCAGGGCAAACUGUCGGUGCAGUAAGAGCAUCUCAUUUGACAAGAGCUGAAAGAGGUAGAGGCAAUGCUCACACUGCUUGGGUUACUCGCACCGCCACCCCUUGCCAACAAGAGCCAUACCAGGAGGAAGAAGACGAAGAUUGCACGCCUAAGGUGUACGUAGGGAACCUACACUACGACGUUGUCAGCGAGGACCUCGCCAAGCUCUUUGAGCAAGCCGGUGUUGUUGAGUUCUCAGAGGUUAUUUACAGCCGAGGAACAGGCCAGAGCCGUGGAUAUGGAUUUGUCACCAUGAGUACUGUUGAGGAGGCUGAGCUGGCUGUGGAGAUGUUCGAUGGCUUUAAAUUGUUUGGGAUGCUUCUUAUUGUGCACAAAGCAGCUCUGAGAGGCGCCCGGGUGGAAACUCCUUCCCAUCAAUCCAAGUCUGCAUUCAGAAUCUACGUGGGCAAUCUGCCGUCGCAAGUCGAUGACUCUUGGUUGGAGGAGUUGUUCAGCAAGCAUGGCAAAGUGGUCGAUGCUAGAGUCGUCUACGAGCGCAGAGGGGGAACCUGGAGUUUGCGGGGAUUCGGUUUUGUGACGAUGGCAACAGAGGAGGAAACGUGUGAUGCUGUUUAUGCCCUCAACAAACAGAUUCUGGAGGGGCGUGCUCUGGAGAUUCACUUUGAACCCCUGUAA